This 754-nucleotide unclassified non-coding RNA is filed under the name Lingula anatina. Its description in RNAcentral is "uncharacterized LOC106173248, transcript variant X1". Lineage: Eukaryota; Metazoa; Brachiopoda; Lingulata; Lingulida; Lingulidae. The record is from RNAcentral.
GUCAUGUUUGGGAGCAUUUUGCAUUUAUAUUCAUUGUUCCCUGCUAUCAAGACAUUCAUUUUUGUUAAAUUUCAAAGUCAAAGAAACGGGUUGGUGCCAAGGCUGUCAUUGGUGCUGGGACACUGUAUCUUGUAAUUCAAGAUGGCUUUUGGAAAAGUGAUCAACAGUCUAAGACUUUCCAAGUGCUAAAUAAAUCCUUAACUCCCAAGAUUGAAAGGUUAAAUGAACAGAUUGCAUCCAAGGAAAAUAUUUUAAAAUGGUGGAAUUCAGGUAUUCAAGGAUGUUUUCAGACAAUAUCUUCUACUCUUGAAAGACUACAGAGAAAAGAUGCGAAGAAUCCUAAAAGUUGAUGCUUUGCUACUGUCCACAGAAAUAAAACAUUACUAGUAGUAAGACUACUUUUUUUUGGACAGGCAAAUAAUGCUGAAAUUGUGAGCUAUCAUGUUCACAGUUGUUGUUGAAAAUACUUAUUCUUUGACAGAGAAAGAAUAAUUAUUGCCCUUUCUUAAGAACAUUUGUAAUGCAAUUGGACAUCAGCAUGGGUAUAUUGAAAGUGUUUGUUGUUUAAAGCUGAAAUGCUUAAAAACUAUUGUUGGGUUUUCUUAAGAUUUGAUAUAAAAUUUGUGUCACUUAAAUAUUAAGAUUUGAAUGUUUCCACAUGAUUCUUCUGAAUGAAUUUUAUGAGCCGAUGACUUUCCUCCACAUUAAAGCAGUUUGUACCUUGGUGCUGAACCUCGAAUAAAAACAUUUUUUU